Long non-coding RNA from Spinacia oleracea (spinach), 1027 nucleotides. RefSeq lists it as uncharacterized. The record is from RefSeq and is a predicted model, not a curated record. The transcript has 3 exons. Lineage: Eukaryota; Viridiplantae; Streptophyta; Magnoliopsida; Caryophyllales; Amaranthaceae.
GCCAUUGAUUGCUCUUUCACUUACAAUUGCUCUUUCUACUUGCCCAAACAAAAUAAAAAAAAUCAGCAGUAAGUAAGAGCAUCAAGCAUCUCUAUUCCAAAAAUACCACACAAAAGAAUCAAAUUUAUGGCACACAGUGGUGCAAAUAAAUCCUUUUUCAAUCUCACUCCUCCAAAAUGGUUUCCAAAUAAGGGUUUUUGAGAUGCAGCAUGCAAAAAUUAUGAUCCAUAAAAGCUUCUAUGAACAAGACGCCAGUCAAUCGACAUGAAAUUCAGUUCAAAUGAUCUGCAGGGAUUUUUUUUUUUGUCCUUUCAACCAAGAUCUGCCCAUUUUUCUGAGGGCUAUAAUAUCUAGUGAAGGUACGGUGCAUGGAAGUUGUUUUUCGCUGCAGAAGACAUGAGAAGGCUCAUCUUAUGCUGACUAAUGUUUGUAAGAAUUCUCAGCUGAUCGGAUUCAGUUGGCACGUAUCAAACUCCUAUAAGUUAAAACUAGCUGUUGCGUACUAAAAGCAUAUGAUAUACUUGUACCAGGCUAUGAUAAUGUACCAUCUACUUUGCUCCUGUCUCUAGGAUUACUACAUCUGAAACUUCUGAUAUUCUGCAAUCUCAGACUUCAGGGAGAAAGUUCUUAUCCCUUCUUUUUCCCUCAAUCUUUGCUACUUUGAUUUAUAAGUUGUAAUGUUCAUGUAUUGUACUCCCUAGCUUUUAUCUUUACAUAAUAAAUUGUGAAGAUUAUGUUAAUUUAUUACAGGGAAUAGAGUUCUUGACAGUGCUGGAGACUUGGAUAAAUCAGAGUUAGCUAAGUGCACUCGAUUUGUUGUAUCUUCCAUUAUUAAGCAGUUGUAAUAGGGAAACCGAGGGACACAAGUGUUCUUUUGUAGUGACAAAAGUGUACCACGAAUUAUAUGUACGUUGUCGUUCAGUUUACUUAAAUUCUUGAAUAUGUUUCAGGGUCUGGUAAUUUGAUAAAAUAGAUUUUGGUUUCAGACUCGGUUGUAAAGAAGUAAAAACAGGUGCAUUUUGUUUGA